Magnolia sinica is the source of this 1381-nucleotide long non-coding RNA. RefSeq lists it as uncharacterized. The record is from RefSeq and is a predicted model, not a curated record. The transcript has 3 exons. Lineage: Eukaryota; Viridiplantae; Streptophyta; Magnoliopsida; Magnoliales; Magnoliaceae.
AAAACAUACACAUGCUCCCGUUCAAAUCUCUCAAUCUCUCUCAAAGGUCUUUUUUCGCCCGUCUCGACCUCCGACACAUGCCUCCUCUCUCUCCAAAACCUCCAACAAAUCAAGGUUAGAUCUUCACAACAGAAAUCUCCAAUCCUUCCUUGACUUGAGAAAUGGAUCGAGAAUCAUCCAACGAAAAAGAAGACGGUCGUAACCUCGUCCGUCCAAAUUCAACAAACAUGACCGACCGCUCCACCUUCCAGAUGGAGAUCGGUGAUCAGAAAUCUGGUGACGCCGUUUGGCAAUGAAUCUCCUGCGUGAGGAUUUCUCGUCAAAACAAUAGGGAAUGCAUCGGAGUCAGUGACGGAAAAUGAGGGCCCUGCAUUCGCCAGUUUCACCUGAAUACAUGCCAGAAAGUUGAUUGAAAGAUGGGAAGAAGUACAAUUGAACGGAAGCUGAAAGCCAGCUGAUACGUGUUCACGAUUUGCAUAUCAGGUAAAUUGGAAGCCACUUGGCCUGAGGGUGCCAAGUCUGAGGAAUGGAAGAAGAGGGUCGUUGAGGAUAUAUUGCACAAGUUUUCUUAUGAUGAUGCAGUUCUUGCAAUUGGUGAUAUGUUCUAUGCUAAAGUGGAGGAAGAAUGAGUGAUGCAGCCAAGUGGCCCACUUGCUCACAAAUGCGAAACUGGCAACCAACCGAGUCGGCUUAUUGUCCUUACGACUUAGAAGUUUGUACAGACUUUCUUGGGAGGGAACUAUAUAGGCCUGCACUUCGGACAGCAUGGAUUUUUGAAGUUUCAAUAUGCUCUCCCAUUUUCUCUGUUUCACAAUUUUAGAUUCUAUGUUGAGGAUAAAUGGCAUUGUCUUGCAUUUAGUAGUUGGAAAUAUUUAAAUCAAGCAUAUGGAUACGGUAGGAUUGUAGGAGACACGAUUUCCACUAGCUAUUGCUACUGACGAGUGGUUGAAAGGUGCUGCCUAUCGACUUUGUUAGUAAUAGGUUGUGACUUUGUAAUGCAAGAGACCAGAAGGUAUGUUUAAACAUUUGUUUUUUGAGUUUUUGAAACCCAUGCGGGGUGUGUAUGUCUGUUCCUCUGGAUAAGCUUUAAUGUACUUCUUUAAAACUCUUCAUGGUAUAGAACUUUUGAGGGUGGGGGUUUUAGACUUUAAGUUAUUGUUUCUAUGUGCCGAAGUUAGCGUAUGCACUGGGAAAAACUAAACCAAUCUUAACAGAUCCUUGCUUGCUUCAAUCUUUGUAGCUGUGCAAAUUUAUAUCUUAUCCCUUUUAAGAAUUGGGUACCACUAUCUAAGAUGAAAGAAGAACCAUGUAACUCCAAAGCUUGAGUGAGUGCAACUCCUACGACUUUGAAGCAAGCCAAGUCUAACUUUUGUUGUCUCAC